GGGGGUGUACAGGUUUCGACGGGGGUGUUGAAGCCGGAGAAGCGAGCCGCAGUCUCCCAGUCUGCGUUAAAAAGGGAAACUUAAAAAUAAACGCAAAAAACAAUAGAAGUUUAGCGGUAGCAGCUUAAUUCAGCUGCGCUUGUCGGCCUCGGCUCACCUGUAGGCGGAGAUCAGCGGCAUAAUAUAUACAGGAAAACUUCGUGUGAAUGCCCGGCAGCACGGGGGAACGACGGGAUAGCUGACGAUAUAGCCUGCCUGUAGGCGAUGUCUGAAGCGAAACUUAAAAUACAGGCUGCGCUCGGAGACGCUUCUGUGGAUAUGCUUUCGGACAUGGGUUCGAUUCCCAUCACCUUCACCA
This 358-nucleotide transfer-messenger RNA is filed under the name Anaerovoracaceae. RNAcentral's name for it is "Alangreenwoodia sp905206455 Standard tmRNA". It matches the Rfam family "transfer-messenger RNA". Rfam says of the family: Bacterial tmRNA, also known as 10Sa RNA or SsrA, is named for its dual tRNA and mRNA-like properties. Lineage: Bacteria; Bacillati; Bacillota; Clostridia; Peptostreptococcales. The record is from RNAcentral. RNAcentral also lists the same sequence under 2 other names.